Molecule: ribosomal RNA, 253 nt
Filed under: uncultured bacterium
Lineage: Bacteria
Description: partial 16S ribosomal RNA
Rfam family: Bacterial small subunit ribosomal RNA
Source: RNAcentral
UACGUAGGUGGCAAGCGUUGUCCGGAUUUACUGGGCGUAAAGGGCGUGCAGGCGGUCUGUUAAGUUCAGGGUGAAAGCUCCCGGCUCAACUGGGAGAGGUCCUUGGAUACUGGCAGACUUGAGGGAGGUAGAGGAGAGUGGAAUUCCCGGUGUAGUGGUGAUAUGCGUAGAUAUCGGGAGGAACACCAGUGGCGAAGGCGGCUCUCUGGGCCUUUCCUGACGCUGAGACGCGAAAGCGUGGGGAGCAAACGGG